UACGUAGGCAGCGAGCGUUGUUCGGAGUUACUGGGCGUAAAGCGUGCGUAGGCGGUGUCUUAAGUUUGUUGUGAAAUCUCCCGGCUUAACCGGGAGGGUGCGGCGAAUACUGAGAUGCUGGUGUGCCGGAGAGGUAAGCGGAAUUCCUGGUGUAGCGGUGAAAUGCGUAGAUAUCAGGAGGAACACCUGCGGUGUAGACGGCUUACUGGACGGUAACUGACGCUGAGGCACGAAAGCGUGGGUAGCAAACAGG
Molecule: ribosomal RNA, 253 nt
Filed under: uncultured bacterium
Lineage: Bacteria
Description: partial 16S ribosomal RNA
Rfam family: Bacterial small subunit ribosomal RNA
Source: RNAcentral